AGAGGUUGCAGGUUUCAGACCACACCAGAAGUGCUCACUACAUGGCCCCUGUCAGAUUCCAAUGAAUCUGUGAAUUCCACU
Molecule: ribozyme, 81 nt
Filed under: Crocodylus porosus (Australian saltwater crocodile)
Lineage: Eukaryota; Metazoa; Chordata; Crocodylia; Crocodylidae
Description: Mammalian CPEB3 ribozyme (ENSCPRG00005001915.1)
Rfam family: Mammalian CPEB3 ribozyme
About the family: The mammalian CPEB3 ribozyme is a self cleaving RNA located in the second intron of the CPEB3 gene which belongs to a family of genes regulating messenger RNA polyadenylation. This ribozyme is highly conserved and found only in mammals. There is currently only one other known self cleaving ribozyme in mammals, the CoTC motif.
Source: RNAcentral